RNAcentral lists this transfer RNA (73 nucleotides) under Felis catus (domestic cat). It matches the Rfam family "tRNA". Rfam says of the family: Transfer RNA (tRNA) molecules are approximately 80 nucleotides in length. Their secondary structure includes four short double-helical elements and three loops (D, anti-codon, and T loops). RNAcentral also lists the same sequence under 1 other name. Lineage: Eukaryota; Metazoa; Chordata; Mammalia; Carnivora; Felidae. The record is from Rfam by way of RNAcentral.
ACCUGGCUGGCUCAGUUGGUAGAGCAUGUAACUCUUAAUCUCAGGGUUGUGAGUUCGAGCCCCAUGUUGGGUA